RNAcentral lists this ribosomal RNA (589 nucleotides) under uncultured bacterium. RNAcentral's name for it is "bacterial SSU rRNA". It matches the Rfam family "Bacterial small subunit ribosomal RNA", at positions 338 to 916 of the family's 1533-position model. The record is from RNAcentral.
CCUACGGGAGGCAGCAGUAGGGAAUCUUCCGCAAUGGACGAAAGUCUGACGGAGCAACGCCGCGUGAACGAUGAAGGCCUUCGGGUCGUAAAGUUCUGUUGUUAGGGAAGAACAAGUGCUAGUUGAAUAAGCUGGCACCUUGACGGUACCUAACCAGAAAGCCACGGCUAACUACGUGCCAGCAGCCGCGGUAAUACGUAGGUGGCAAGCGUUGUCCGGAAUUAUUGGGCGUAAAGCGCGCGCAGGCGGUUUCUUAAGUCUGAUGUGAAAGCCCCCGGCUCAACCGGGGAGGGUCAUUGGAAACUGGGAAACUUGAGUGCAGAAGAGGAAAGUGGAAUUCCAAGUGUAGCGGUGAAAUGCGUAGAGAUUUGGAGGAACACCAGUGGCGAAGGCGACUUUCUGGUCUGUAACUGACGCUGAGGCGCGAAAGCGUGGGGAGCAAACAGGAUUAGAUACCCUGGUAGUCCACGCUGUAAACGAUGAGUGCUAAGUGUUAGAGGGUUUCCGCCCUUUAGUGCUGAAGUUAACGCAUUAAGCACUCCGCCUGGGGGAUACGGUCGCAAGACUGAAAACUUAAAGGAAUUGACGG